ACAGGAGUUACCCAGGAAUUUUGUUGAAAUGCAGAUUCUGAUUCAGUAGUUCUGGAAUGAGGUUCUGAAAUUUUGUGUUUCUUCCAGGCUCCCAGGUGAUGGCCCC
Molecule: microRNA precursor, 106 nt
Filed under: Marmota monax (woodchuck)
Lineage: Eukaryota; Metazoa; Chordata; Mammalia; Rodentia; Sciuridae
Source: RNAcentral